Molecule: ribosomal RNA, 906 nt
Filed under: uncultured Bacillota bacterium
Lineage: Bacteria; Bacillati; Bacillota
Description: bacterial SSU rRNA
Rfam family: Bacterial small subunit ribosomal RNA
Source: RNAcentral
GACGAACGCUGGCGGCGUGCCUAAUACAUGCAAGUCGAGCGGAUCUUCAUUAGCUUGCUUUUGAAGAUCAGCGGCGGACGGGUGAGUAACACGUGGGCGACCUGCCUGUAAGACUGGGAUAACUUCGGGAAACCGGAGCUAAUACCGGAUAAUCCUUUCCCUCACAUGAGGGAAAGCUGAAAGACGGUUUCGGCUGUCACUUACAGAUGGGCCCGCGGCGCAUUAGCUAGUUGGUGAGGUAACGGCUCACCAAGGCAACGAUGCGUAGCCGACCUGAGAGGGUGAUCGGCCACACUGGGACUGAGACACGGCCCAGACUCCUACGGGAGGCAGCAGUAGGGAAUCUUCCGCAAUGGACGAAAGUCUGACGGGGGCAACGCCGCGUGAACGAUGAAGGCUUUCGGGUCGUAAAGUUCUGUUGUCAGGGAAGAACAAGUAUCGGAGUAACUGCCGGUACCUUGACGGUACCUGACCAGAAAGCCACGGCUAACUACGUGCCAGCAGCCGCGGUAAUACGUAGGUGGCAAGCGUUGUCCGGAAUUAUUGGGCGUAAAGCGCGCGCAGGCGGUUCCUUAAGUCUGAUGUGAAAGCCCCGGCUCAACCGGGGAGGGUCAUUGGAAACUGGGGAACUUGAGUGCAGAAGAGGAGAGCGGAAUUCCACGUGUAGCGGUGAAAUGCGUAGAGAUGUGGAGGAACACCAGUGGCGAAGGCGGCUCUCUGGUCUGUAACUGACGCUGAGGCGCGAAAGCGUGGGGAGCGAACAGGAUUAGAUACCCUGGUAGUCCACGCCGUAAACGAUGAGUGCUAAGUGUUAGAGGGUUUCCGCCCUUUAGUGCUGCAGCAAACGCAUUAAGCACUCCGCCUGGGGAGUACGGCCGCAAGGCUGAAACUCAAAGGAAUUGACGG